UACGUAGGGUGCAAGCGUUGUCCGGAAUUAUUGGGCGUAAAGAGCUCGUAGGCGGUUUGUCGCGUCGAAUGUGAAAACCCGGGGCUCAACCCCGGGCCUGCAUUCGAUACGGGUAGACUAGAGUUCGGUAGGGGAGUCUGGAAUUCCUGGUGUAGCGGUGAAAUGCGCAGAUAUCAGGAGGAACACCGGUGGCGAAGGCGGGACUCUGGGCCGAUACUGACGCUGAGGAGCGAAAGCGUGGGGAGCAAACAGG
RNAcentral lists this ribosomal RNA (253 nucleotides) under uncultured bacterium. RNAcentral's name for it is "partial 16S ribosomal RNA". It matches the Rfam family "Bacterial small subunit ribosomal RNA", at positions 524 to 776 of the family's 1533-position model. The record is from RNAcentral.